UUUUCGCACUCUGGAGAGCGGCAGUAGUCCGUCGGCCCCGGCCGAGGCAGGCUGCCCACCGAAGGGGCGCGCGUUCGACGGCAGCCAUGGCAUGCCGGCAGCGCAAUCUCUCAGGUACCGAGGACAGAGGGGUCAUG
Molecule: non-coding RNA, 137 nt
Filed under: Trinickia caryophylli
Lineage: Bacteria; Pseudomonadati; Pseudomonadota; Betaproteobacteria; Burkholderiales; Burkholderiaceae
Description: Paraburkholderia caryophylli Glycine sequence
Rfam family: Glycine riboswitch aptamer
About the family: This family represents the bacterial glycine riboswitch. Glycine riboswitches usually consist of two metabolite-binding aptamers domains with similar structures in tandem.
Source: Rfam by way of RNAcentral